Molecule: non-coding RNA, 71 nt
Organism: Podarcis lilfordi (Lilford's wall lizard)
Lineage: Eukaryota; Metazoa; Chordata; Lepidosauria; Squamata; Lacertidae
Source: the annotation of a GenBank genome assembly
GGUUGUGGCUCAGCAACAGAGCAUCUGCUUUGCAUGCAGAAGGUCCCAGGUUCAAUCCCCAGGUAGGGCUG